RNAcentral lists this long non-coding RNA (439 nucleotides) under Panax ginseng (ginseng). RNAcentral describes it as "long non-coding RNA (PGIN_LNC018275)". The record is from RNAcentral. Lineage: Eukaryota; Viridiplantae; Streptophyta; Magnoliopsida; Apiales; Araliaceae.
UGUUUUAUUCUAAGCUUAUGGUUAAUCAUUACUGAUUGCCAUGAAAAUUGUACUCUGGACAUCUUGCAUAUAUAAGUCAGGUAUGAAAGGCUGAUCACCUUCAUUACCAGUUGGUUCAGAAAUGUUUGUUCAUGUUUAAAACUUGUUCAGUCAAAAGUUUGUUCCUGCUAGUUCUCAAUUAUAUUGAUGAAUUAUAGCCAGCUUAUUAUUCAUACUCUUCAAUCAUGAUAUAUCCUUAUAUUGUUGUAUUUAAACUUGCUGGGCAACUUUCAUGCUCACCCUUGCUAUAUCAUGAUAAAACAUUGCAGAUAAGGCAAAUGCGUUCGGAUACAGGAAAAGAUAAUGCCAAGUUCAACUUGGGAUAAAUUGUGCGGCUAUUUUGUAAUAGUAUAGUUUGAUAAAUGUGAUAAAUGUUAGAUCAUUUAUGAUUGUGUAUAAG